CUGAGUGCGGGCCCUCUGGGUCCAACCUCCCACCCGUGUUUAUCGUACCUUGUUGCUUCGGCGGGCCCGCCGUCAGGCCGCCGGGGGGCAUCCGCCCCCGGGCCCGCGCCCGCCGAAGACACCAUUGAACGCUGUCUGAAGGUUGCAGUCUGAGUUUGAUUAUUAAAUCGUUA
This 173-nucleotide unclassified non-coding RNA is filed under the name uncultured Warcupiella. RNAcentral's name for it is "sequence contains ITS1". The record is from RNAcentral. Lineage: Eukaryota; Fungi; Ascomycota; Eurotiomycetes; Eurotiales; Aspergillaceae.